This 292-nucleotide long non-coding RNA is filed under the name Vigna radiata. RNAcentral's name for it is "long non-coding RNA (VRAD_LNC015234)". Lineage: Eukaryota; Viridiplantae; Streptophyta; Magnoliopsida; Fabales; Fabaceae. The record is from RNAcentral.
GCUCUUCCACCUAAGGGAUUAUUAGGGAUAGAGUAAUUUUGUGAAUUGACUUUAGUAAUUUGAUGNAGUGGAGAUGAAAUUGUGUAUGUACAAGAGUGAAUUCGUGAAACCUAACCUUAGUAAUGUCAUUUCAUAUCAUUUCUAGUCUAUUGCAUUCUUAAGUGUCUUCAAACACCAAAGUACAACCUUGUAUAUUUGAAAUUUUAUCUUCUUUUCCCUUGUUUGUCAAUUGAUAUGUUGUUCUUGAGUCUAUAUGAGUUGUUAAUAGUGCAAUUAACUAGUAUUACACGAG